This 72-nucleotide transfer RNA is filed under the name Cecembia calidifontis. RNAcentral's name for it is "tRNA-Glu". It matches the Rfam family "tRNA". Rfam says of the family: Transfer RNA (tRNA) molecules are approximately 80 nucleotides in length. Their secondary structure includes four short double-helical elements and three loops (D, anti-codon, and T loops). Lineage: Bacteria; Pseudomonadati; Bacteroidota; Cytophagia; Cytophagales; Cyclobacteriaceae. The record is from RNAcentral. RNAcentral also lists the same sequence under 1 other name.
GGUCCAUUCGUCUAGGGGUUAGGACGCAUCCCUUUCACGGAUGAAACACGGGUUCGAUUCCCGUAUGGACUA